AAGUCGUAACAAGGUUUCCGUAGGUGAACCUGCGGAAGGAUCAUUAACACGUAUCCAACGUUAAACCCCCUGUGAACCUUCAUUGUACGAGUUACAUCCACGUCAUAAACGGCAAUCUCUGGUAAACCUCUGGGAAGGGUGUACGGUAGUGCGAGGCAAUUGACCUGGCAUUCCUCUGCUUGUUAGUGUCUGAAAGUGUCACUAGCUAUGUACGGAUGGCGCAGUAACGAUCGCUGGAGGCCGACACGGCCGGCGACCAGGUCACUGGGCUACGGCCCCCCUGAUCACAACCUUUGCAUGAAAACGGGCCUGCGCUGAGGUGCGGCCACCCCUAAUGCUUGAACAACUGUUAACAAUGGAUAUCUUGGUUCUC
Molecule: unclassified non-coding RNA, 373 nt
Filed under: fungal sp.
Lineage: Eukaryota; Fungi
Description: partial internal transcribed spacer region
Rfam family: Eukaryotic small subunit ribosomal RNA (bases 1-46)
Source: RNAcentral